CAGAGAGCUGUUUUAUUAUCUGCCUAAUAGGCAGACCUGCCUGCCAGUCGAAGUUCGGGGCAAACUUCUCCCCUCUGCUAGCGGGACACUCUGAACUCCACACAUAAACCUGACGAAUUGACGAUACCCCCUGGCGACUUGGAGGGGCAAGUAACUCGCUUUAUGUUGCUACAACGGUGUUGCUACGGGAAGACUGAGGCUGCUUCUGGCGUUUAAAUUUCAGACAGGAUAGAACUGAAAUACUUCUCGUAAUAGUGGUUCUGUCCUGGGGAUAUGUCAUCUACGCAACAAGAAUCGCAGCAAAAUGGCAACUGGAAAAAACAUUCAAGACCACAAACUGAACCCUCGAUUUGGAACUGAAUAUAAACACGAAUGAAACUAGAAACUUGUGUCAGAAA
Molecule: long non-coding RNA, 398 nt
Organism: Acipenser ruthenus (sterlet)
Lineage: Eukaryota; Metazoa; Chordata; Actinopteri; Acipenseriformes; Acipenseridae
Exons: 3
Source: RefSeq, a predicted model, not a curated record